UUCAGGGUGCUCAAAAAGCCUACUGCUUCCAAGCUUGUGAUGUCAACAUAAUUUUCAGAGAGAAAGUUAGCCUCGGGAUUUCUCUCUUUCUUCUUUAUUGAUGCUUGAUAAAGAUCAAUCAAGUGUUUGAGAGCACGACAGUAACGACUUCCAAGCUUAUGAUGUCAACAUUGUUUUUAGAGAGAAAGUUAGCCUCGGGAUUUCUCUCUUUCUUCUUUAGUGAUGCUUGAUAAAGAUUAACCAAGUGCUUGAGAGCACGACAGUCACAUGAAUAAUGUCCUUUUCCACCACACCGGGAACAAGUAAUUGCUUCACGUUUAUCUUCUUUUUUUUUGUUGUUCGAUGAAUGAUUAACACCCGUAACAGGUUUCUUUCUUGGUCAUCAUGACCACGACCAGGGCUGCGACCUUUUCCACGCCUAGCAUGGUGAGCGCACAUCAUUCACUUAAGGGAAUGAUGCAGAUCCAGUUGGUCAGUUCUCAUGAUUUUUCAUCAACAAAUCAUUAUUUUGGUCAGCCACGAGAAGAUGAGAACUCAGCUCAGUAUACUUCUUGAAACCUUUUUCUUGAUAUUGUUGCUGUAAUAGCACAUUCGAGGCAUGAAAAAUGGAGAACGUCUUUUCUAUCAUAUCAUUAUCAUUGGCUGUAUCUCCACAUAGUUUCAAUUGAGAAAAAAUUCUAAACAUGACAGAAUUAUAUUUAUGAACAAACUUAUAGUCUUGAAAUCUUUGAUGCAUCCACUCAUAUAGUGCUUUCGGAAGGAUGACUAUCUUAAGUGAUCAAACCUUUCUUUUAGGCUAUUCACAAUAAGAGUGGAUCCUCAGUAGUAAGGAACUCAAUUUUCAGAACUUUGUCAAGAUGAUAACGCAAGAAAAUCAUAGCUUUAGCACGAUUUUGACUAGAUGUUGUGUUUUCAUUCUUUAUGGUGUCUCCAACACCCAUAGCAUCUAGGUGGAUUUCAACAUUCAACACCCAUGAAAUAUAGUUCUUGCCCAAACUUUGAAGGGCAACGAACUCACACUUCGUAAGAUUGUUAGCCAUAAAAAACAGAAGAAAAAUAAUAAUACCUUAGCCUUAGCCUUCAAAUUUGAGACGGUAGAGUCUCGUGAUAACGUAUUAUAAAAUAAGAAAGAAUGGAAAAGAAGAAUAAAGAAUAGAGAGUAAUCAUUA
RNAcentral lists this long non-coding RNA (1169 nucleotides) under Capsicum annuum. RNAcentral describes it as "long non-coding RNA (CANN_LNC006157)". Lineage: Eukaryota; Viridiplantae; Streptophyta; Magnoliopsida; Solanales; Solanaceae. The record is from RNAcentral.